Molecule: long non-coding RNA, 856 nt
Organism: Pseudophryne corroboree (corroboree frog)
Lineage: Eukaryota; Metazoa; Chordata; Amphibia; Anura; Myobatrachidae
Exons: 4
Source: RefSeq, a predicted model, not a curated record
AACAGUGGGCGUGGCCUACGCGCCAGACGUCAUGUCAGAUGGCAACAGAAUCAGGCGGGAGGGAGAAGCCUUUCAAAUUUAAAAAUCCUCCAUUUCAGGGACAACAAUAGUAAUACAGAAGCUGUGUGUCACCGGCUGGCUGCCUCUGCUGCACCACUGGCAGAGAGAGGAGGGCAGGGUGUACCGUGUACAAUUAAGUCUAGAUGGACAAAGUGGUUCUUCUCUGCCAUCAAAUUCUAUGCUCUUAAAGCUUUCCAGUACUGACACCAUACAGACUUGCCAGGAAUGGGAGCAAUCACUGCAUGCUUGAACAGUAAAUGAAAGAUACCAGGAGAGAGAGAGAUUACAGAUUUUAGUUAAGUUACCAGGCCUGGAGGUGUGUGUGUGUGAAGAGGAGACCGUGUCCGUUAUGUGAGCCAUGCUUCUGUUUUAGCCAGCAGGUUGAAAUUGUUAAAGACGAAGGGGACACAGCAUUGGAUCAUCUGCGAGACCAUCAGCAUCAGAUCUUCAGCCACCUGAGGUUACUCAGAUUGGCCCUUGCAGCUCCGUAGUUAAGGCCAGGAAGUCUAUAUCAGAAGAUACAGACCCUGGCAUCGACACUCCCACUCUCAACUAGGCUUAGGGGACACUGAGUGUGAUGACAAAGAUCCCGGUCUGCACAUACGCAGAAUGGGUUGUAUGCAUGCGCACCACCUUGUUAGUUUUAAAAUGUACUUUAACUGGUCAAAGGGGGUGAUUCCAACUUGAUCAAAACUGUGCUAAAUUUAGCACAGCUAUGAUCAGGAACACAAACAUGCAGGGGGAUGCCCAGCACAGGGCUAGCCCGCCUCACAUGUCAGUCCCUGCCCCGUCGCAG